RNAcentral lists this long non-coding RNA (506 nucleotides) under Phoenix dactylifera (date palm). RNAcentral describes it as "long non-coding RNA (PDAC_LNC022906)". The record is from RNAcentral. Lineage: Eukaryota; Viridiplantae; Streptophyta; Magnoliopsida; Arecales; Arecaceae.
GCUCGGCUCGUGCUCCAUCGACUAUUGAGUAGCGGUCCUCUGACCGGACGAGCUCGGCUCGUGCUCCAUCAAUUAUUGAGCAGCGGUCCUCUCUGACCGGACGAGCUCGGCUCGUGCUCCAUCGACUAUUGGGUAGCGGUCCUCUGACCGGACGAGCUCGGCUCGUGCUCCCACCCCGACCUCGGCCGGGAUGCCCCGAUACGUUGGGAUGUUGUCUUUAUUGGCCAAGCGAGCUCGGCUCACUCUUUACCGGCUUCAGCCAACGAGCUCGGCCCGCUAUUCCAUUUCUGGAUUUCUCUGCCGACGUCCUCGAAGAACGGAGUCCGAGCAGAGAAGCGUCCUCAGUCGCCUUGGCGCAAGGACGCAUACGGUACAAGGUACCCAUUCUGCUUCUGGAUUUCUCUGCCGACGUCCUCGAAGAACGAAGUCCGAGCAGAGAAGCGUCUUCAGUCGCCUUGGCGCAAGGACGCAUACGGUACAAGGUACCCAUUCUGCUUCUGGAUUUC